CUAACACGCGCGCGAGUCGCAGGGCCGUACGAAACCCGAAGGCGAAACGAAAGUGAAGGCCGUCCCCGAGGACGGCUCGGGCGGGAUCCGCAACGGAGCGAUCCGUUGCGGCGCACCGCCGGCCCGUCUCGGCCGCCGCGUCGGCGAGGCGGAGCAGGAGCGCGCGCGUUGGGACCCGAAAGAUGGUGAACUAUGCCCGAGCAGGACGAAGCCAGAGGAAACUCUGGUGGAGGUCCGCAGCGAUUCUGACGUGCAAAUCGA
RNAcentral lists this ribosomal RNA (261 nucleotides) under Placobdella picta. RNAcentral describes it as "partial 28S ribosomal RNA". It matches the Rfam family "Eukaryotic large subunit ribosomal RNA", at positions 675 to 901 of the family's 3401-position model. Lineage: Eukaryota; Metazoa; Annelida; Clitellata; Rhynchobdellida; Glossiphoniidae. The record is from RNAcentral.